CGAACGCUGGCGGCAGGCCUACACGAUUCAAGUCGAACGUGAAGCAGCCAGCUUGCUCCCUGUGGAAAGUGGCAGACGGGUGAGUAACCCGUGGGAUUUACCCAGCUCUACGGAAUAACGCAGGGGAAACUUGUGCUAAUACCGUAUACGUCCUCCGGGAGAAAGAUUUAUCGGAGUUGGAUGAGCCCGCGUUAGAUUAGUUUGUUGGUGGGGUAACGGCCUACCAAGACUACGAUCUAUAGCUGGUCUGAGAGGAUGAUCAGCCACACUGGGACUGAGACACGGCCAGACUCCUACGGGAGGCAGCAGUGGGGAAUAUUGCACAAUGGGCGCAAGCCUGAUGCAGCCAUGCCGCGUGAGUGAAGAAGGCCUUACGGUUGUAAAACUCUUUCAUCGGUGAAGAUAAUGACGGUAGCCGAAGAAAGAAGCCCCGGCUAACUCCGUUGCCAGCAGACCGCGGUAAUACGAGACGUCGGGGCGAGACGUUGUUCGGAAUUACUGGGCGUAAAGCGCACGUAAGCGGAUUGGUCAGUGGGGGUGACAAUCCCGGAAGGAUUAAACUCGGAAACUGCCUCAAAUUACUGCCAAUCUUAGAAG
This 597-nucleotide ribosomal RNA is filed under the name uncultured Alphaproteobacteria bacterium. RNAcentral describes it as "bacterial SSU rRNA". It matches the Rfam family "Bacterial small subunit ribosomal RNA", at positions 30 to 648 of the family's 1533-position model. The record is from RNAcentral. Lineage: Bacteria; Pseudomonadati; Pseudomonadota; Alphaproteobacteria.